Bubalus bubalis (water buffalo) is the source of this 711-nucleotide long non-coding RNA. RefSeq lists it as uncharacterized. The record is from RefSeq and is a predicted model, not a curated record. The transcript has 3 exons. NCBI's taxonomy places the organism in Eukaryota, Metazoa, Chordata, Mammalia, Artiodactyla, Bovidae.
GUGUCUUGUAUAUCAUAUAUAUGUUUUUUACUCAAGUCGUUGACUUCACUUGCAGCUGUUUCACUUUCUCUCUCGUGUUCAUUAAAAGUCCUCUCCAUCCUCGCCUCCCCUCUGUGGCAGGAGCAGGUGUGCUUUAUUUACAGACUAGGCUCCUUCAGUAACAUUUGAAGGCUGAUGUGGCCUGGAAUGUGUUUACCGUCCUGUUUAGAUAAUAAUCAGACCAAAUCCUUGGGCCAGGAAGGUCGACUGGUGCUUGGGGAAGAAGCAGCUCACAUUCUCAUUUCUGUUCUGAAAUGCCAUUUACUCUGGUUUUGGACUCCUGUGUAUAGAGAUAAGACUAGAUGGCAACUCAGUAAAACCCAACCCUGCAAAACUGUAAAAGUAGUACAUCAAUUGAUUUGCAAACAUCCUGUUUCCAUUCAUAAAGAAAUGUACUGCUUUAAACUUGCGAAUUAAUGUGUUCUGUGGAAAUUCACAGCUAGAAGAAAAGGUCUUGGGCCAGCGGUAAGUUUGGAAGAGGUGGUAAGUAAGUGGAUACUAAGUAUACUAAGUAAGUGGAUACUUAGCAGUAAGUAUCCACUUGUAAGAGGUGGAUAAAGGAUUUUUAACAUUAUUUACAGUGAAGUUAAAAUUGAUUUUUUUUAUUUACAGUGAAAUUAAAAGAUGCUUAUUCCUUGGAAGGAAAGUUAUAAUCAACCUAGACAGCAUAUU